UCAGAUUCUUUCCCAGGAUAUGCUCAAGAAGUACAUAACGUACGCAAAACUGAACGUGUUCCCCAAGCUGCACGACGCGGACUUGGACAAGCUCACCCACGUCUAUGCCGAGCUACGAAGGGAAUCAUCUGUGAGAUACCCAGUUGGCUGGCAUUCGAUAGAUAAAAAAAAAUGUCCUUCUGAUUGAUGAUCACCAUCUGACUCUGUGUUUGUCUGGGCCGGCGCAGCACGGGCAAGGAGUCCCCAUUGCGGUGCGGCACAUCGAAUCCAUGAUACGAAUGUCCGAAGCGCAUGCCAGGAUGCACCUGAGGAACUACGUGACUCAGGAG
Molecule: long non-coding RNA, 329 nt
Filed under: Spirodela polyrhiza (greater duckweed)
Lineage: Eukaryota; Viridiplantae; Streptophyta; Magnoliopsida; Alismatales; Araceae
Description: long non-coding RNA (SPOL_LNC002073)
Source: RNAcentral